Molecule: ribosomal RNA, 481 nt
Filed under: uncultured bacterium
Lineage: Bacteria
Description: bacterial SSU rRNA
Rfam family: Bacterial small subunit ribosomal RNA
Source: RNAcentral
GAUGAACGCUAGCUACAGGCUUAACACAUGCAAGUCGAGGGGUAGCAGGGUAGCAAUACCGCUGACGACCGGCGCACGGGUGAGUAACACGUAUCCAACCUUCCCAUCACUCGGGGAUAGCCUUUCGAAAGAAAGAUUAAUACCCGAUAGUACUUUUUUGAGGCAUCUUAAGAAAGUUAAAGAUUUAUUGGUGAUGGAUGGGGAUGCGUUCCAUUAGAUUGUUGGUGAGGUAACGGCUCACCAAGUCUUCGAUGGAUAGGGGUUCUGAGAGGAAGGUCCCCCACAUUGGUACUGAGACACGGACCAAACUCCUACGGGAGGCAGCAGUGAGGAAUAUUGGUCAAUGGGCGAGAGCCUGAACCAGCCAAGUAGCGUGAAGGAUGAAGGUCCUAUGGAUUGUAAACUUCUUUUAUAGUAGAAUAAAGUGAUCCACGUGUGGAUUUUUGAUGUAUACUAUGAAUAAGGAUCGGCUAACUCCGUG